RNAcentral lists this ribosomal RNA (254 nucleotides) under uncultured prokaryote. Its description in RNAcentral is "partial 16S ribosomal RNA". It matches the Rfam family "Bacterial small subunit ribosomal RNA", at positions 524 to 777 of the family's 1533-position model. The record is from RNAcentral.
UACGGAGGGAGCUAGCGUUGUUCGGAAUUACUGGGCGUAAAGCGCGCGUAGGCGGCUUUGUAAGUUAGAGGUGAAAGCCCGGGGCUCAACCCCGGAACUGCCUUUAAGACUGCAUCGCUUGAAUCCGGGAGAGGUGAGUGGAAUUCCGAGUGUAGAGGUGAAAUUCGUAGAUAUUCGGAAGAACACCAGUGGCGAAGGCGGCUCACUGGACCGGUAUUGACGCUGAUGUGCGAAAGCGUGGGGAGCAAACAGGA